Drosophila gunungcola (fruit fly) is the source of this 2298-nucleotide RNA transcript. It is a transcript of the gene named vascular endothelial growth factor C, with no coding region annotated. NCBI's taxonomy places the organism in Eukaryota, Metazoa, Arthropoda, Insecta, Diptera, Drosophilidae. The record is from RefSeq and is a predicted model, not a curated record. The transcript is spliced from 7 exons.
GGCACAGUAACUUGGCCCACACCGUUGCGACGACAGUUUUGAACGGAACUUGCUGGUGCUUGGAAGGCAGUGCGGCCGAUCUCCGCGAAGUUAACUCCAUAAUAUACCGUCGCGCUCAAAUAUUUAUCACAAAAUACAAAAAACAUUAUUCUGUGUGUUUAUUUUUUUCCUGUUUUUUCGUUACGUAUUAACUGAUUUUUGUGCUGGUGAUCCCAAAAUAAUUUAAUUCAGCAUAUCGUUAAGUGAUUUCUUGAUUUUCGAGCCGUGUUUGCAUACAACAAUAGUUAAUUGAUUCUGUGACAUCAACCGUAUUUGGGAGUCAGUUUUGUAAAGGACCGCUUCACCAUGUCCCGAAAACGAAUUCACGAACUUGUCCAACAGCCCCUGCUCCUCCUGCCGCUGCUGCUCCUAAUCCUGUUCGUCGGCAGAGCAGUGGGCGUGGCUCUCGUAUCCCCCAACAAUAGGCUCCCGUCGCAGCGCUUCUUCUACGCCGCCGCCCCAGUCUCCACCUCCUCCUCGCAGACCAAGGUACGUCUGCUCCGCCAGGCGGACGACCCCAAUACGGCGCCGGAUGCAGUGGAGGGCAGCUGCUGUCAAGGAGCAGCCGCCGAAGCCGGAAAACCACUGGCGCUUCCACUGGCCGUGUCCGCCGAGUUGAGCAACGUGACCGCCGAUUACGAUGUGUCCGGCGAGAUGCCGUCCUCCAAAGAAAACUUCAAGCGCAGCAUCACGAAAUCCGCCGUGAGAAACGCGACGCCGGCGAGCUGCUCACCGCAACCGACGAUCGUGGAGCUGAUGCCGCCGGCGGAGGACAGGGCGAACUACUACUACAUGCCCGCCUGCACGCGGAUCAGCCGGUGCAACGGCUGCUGCGGCUCCACGCUGAUCUCCUGCCAGCCCACGGAGGUGGAGCAGGUGCAGCUGCGGGUGCGCAAGGUGGACCGGGCGGCCACCAGCGGACGCAGGCCGUUCACCAUCGUCACCGUGGAGCAGCACACGGCGUGCCGCUGCGAUUGCCGCACAAAGGCGGAGGACUGCAACGUGUACCAGUCGUACAUCAAGGACCUGUGCCGCUGCGAGUGCCACAACACGGACGCCAGGGACAAGUGCCUGGAGCAGGCGGACAGCAAGUACUGGGUGGACGACAACUGCACCUGCGUGUGCCGCUACAACCAGAGCUGCACCACCGGCACCGUCUUCGACGAGACGCAGUGCAAGUGCACCGACGUGAGUGGCUCCCGAUAGGACUCCACUUCCACCUCCACCUCCACUCCAACUCCACUCCCCUGAGGCUCCAUUAGGAUUGGUUUCGAUCUGGUCCUGGUCUGGUCUGGUCUGGUCUGGUCUGGGGAUCGGUUGUACUCGUCCUUGAUCAAAAAUGUCGAGUAUUAUACUUAGAGUCCACAAAACAAAGCACACACUACACAAAUUUAUUUGAUUGAAAACUAAACUUUUUGUGAUAUUGUUAAAUUAACUUUCUCGGAAAAUUAACUAAAAAUUAGCAUAUUUUAUUUAGCAAUUGGUUAAGGAUACAAUAAAAAAAAAAAAGCAAAAAUGUAAAUUAUAGCUGAGUUGAGGCAAAAAAAGGGAGAUGGGAGUUGCAUUGUCCAGCCGCACCCAUCAAUGUUUUGGACCGCAAACGCUUCAUUGUCCAGGCCGUACAGGUGGACCCCGAUAACACCACCCUGUACAGUGUGUGAGGGCAGUUAAGGGACAUCAAGGAGUACGAAGGAGAAACGCCAGCUUCCUAGAGGGGAAUUCCCGAGUACUGAUAAACAGAAAAUACCCAAGAAUUGCACUAAGCGUAUUGCCUAUGUACUUUAUAAUAUUUAUAGUUGUCGAUUUAACCUAGGCUGUAACUACUGUACCCUUUAAACUAACUUACAGUAUUUCCCCCUUUGCAUAAGCGGCACAAAGUCAAAAACUUUAAGGUGUUUCACCGAAAUCUCUAAAGAUUUGCUAUCACUUAAAAAAUUGUCCAAAAUUAUUGCCUUAAUUGAAGUGAACUUUUGGACACAUUUUCAAGAGAUUUCUGUGCAACGCCUGUUAAUUAAUUUUUAUUCAUUUGUUUAUAUUAAUUUUUAAGCGCCAUCUACUUUUUCGCGGCCUUGUACACAUUUGUUUAUUUCUGCUUGUUUAAGUUUUAAAUUAUCCCAAAUUAAUUGUCCACAAACUUAAUGCUAUCCAACAAUUCGCCGUACUUCAUUUGUGCGUAACCAUUUUUUUUUUGUAUAAAAUGUUAGAUAUAAGUUUACGUAAUGAAAAUACAGACAAAGUUUUGAAUUAUUAAUUCAAAAA